AAAAACAUAGCUUCUAGCCCAACAACUAUUAGAAGUAGCGCCUGCCCUGUGGAACCCCUAAACGGCCGCGGCACCAAAACCGUGCAAAGGUAGCACAAUCAUUUGUCCUUUAAAUGGGGACUCGUAUGAAAGGCAGCACGAGAGAAAACCUGUCUCCUAAGACCAGCCAAUGAAAUUGAGCCGCCAGUACAAAAGCUGGCAUACUAAAGCAAGACAAAAAGACCCCGUGGAACUUAAUAACCUGUUUACACAAACUUAAACAAUAACUUUAGUUGGGACAACUUUAGAAAAACUUAACCUCUAACACCACCAAGACUAACAAGCCUAAGAACUUAUAAACUGACCCAGUCACACUGAUCAAUGAAAUAAGCUACCCCGGGGAUAACAGCGCUACCUUCUCAAAAGUCCAUAUUAACAAGAAGACCUACGACCUCGAUGUUGGAUCGGGGUAUCCCGACGGCGCAGCAGCUGUCAAAGGUUCGUUUGUUCAACGACUAACACCCCACGUGAUCUG
This 514-nucleotide ribosomal RNA is filed under the name Rhampholeon uluguruensis. RNAcentral describes it as "partial 16S ribosomal RNA". It matches the Rfam family "Bacterial large subunit ribosomal RNA", at positions 1809 to 2607 of the family's 2925-position model. Lineage: Eukaryota; Metazoa; Chordata; Lepidosauria; Squamata; Chamaeleonidae. The record is from RNAcentral.